This 253-nucleotide ribosomal RNA is filed under the name uncultured bacterium. Its description in RNAcentral is "partial 16S ribosomal RNA". It matches the Rfam family "Bacterial small subunit ribosomal RNA", at positions 524 to 776 of the family's 1533-position model. The record is from RNAcentral.
UACGUAGGGGGCAAGCGUUGUCCGGAUUUAUUGGGCGUAAAGAGCGUGUAGGCGGUUAGGUAGGUCCGUUGUGAAAACUCGAGGCUCAACCUCGAGACGCCGAUGGAAACCAUCUGACUAGAGUCCGGAAGAGGAGAGUGGAAUUCCUGGUGUAGCGGUGAAAUGCGCAGAUAUCAGGAAGAACACCCGUGGCUAAGGCGGCUCUCUAGUACGGUACUGACGCUGAGACGCGAAGGCCAGGGGAGCAAACGGG